RNAcentral lists this ribosomal RNA (888 nucleotides) under Volutella consors. RNAcentral's name for it is "eukaryotic LSU rRNA". It matches the Rfam family "Eukaryotic large subunit ribosomal RNA", at positions 40 to 961 of the family's 3401-position model. The record is from RNAcentral. Lineage: Eukaryota; Fungi; Ascomycota; Sordariomycetes; Hypocreales; Nectriaceae.
AUAUCAAUAAGCGGAGGAAAAGAAACCAACAGGGAUUGCCCUAGUAACGGCGAGUGAAGCGGCAACAGCUCAAAUUUGAAAUCUGGCCCUCGGGUCCGAGUUGUAAUUUGUAGAGGAUGUUUUUGGUGCGGUGCCUUCCGAGUUCCCUGGAACGGGACGCCAUAGAGGGUGAGAGCCCCGUCUGGUUGGACGCCAAUCCUAUGUAAAACUCCUUCGACGAGUCGAGUAGUUUGGGAAUGCUGCUCUAAAUGGGAGGUAUAUGUCUUCUAAAGCUAAAUAUUGGCCAGAGACCGAUAGCGCACAAGUAGAGUGAUCGAAAGAUGAAAAGCACUUUGAAAAGAGAGUUAAAAAGCACGUGAAAUUGUUGAAAGGGAAGCGCUUAUGACCAGACUUGGACUUGGUUGAUCAUCCGGCGUUCUCGCCGGUGCACUCUUCCGGUUCAGGCCAGCAUCAGUUUGCUUCGGGGGAUAAAGGCUUUGGGAAUGUGGCUCCCUCGGGAGUGUUAUAGCCCAUUGUGUAAUACCCUGGAGCGGACUGAGGUACGCGUUCUGCAAGGAUGCUGGCGUAAUGGUCAUCAGUGACCCGUCUUGAAACACGGACCAAGGAGUCGUCUUCGUAUGCGAGUGUUCGGGUGUUAAACCCCUACGCGUAAUGAAAGUGAACGCAGGUGAGAGCUUCGGCGCAUCAUCGACCGAUCCUGAUGUUCUCGGAUGGAUUUGAGUAAGAGCAUACGGGGCCGGACCCGAAAGAAGGUGAACUAUGCCUGUGUAGGGUGAAGCCAGAGGAAACUCUGGUGGAGGCUCGCAGCGGUUCUGACGUGCAAAUCGAUCGUCAAACAUGGGCAUGGGGGCGAAAGACUAAUCGAACCUUCUAGUAGCUGGUUUCCGC